AUGUGACGCCAUACAUGUCUAGCAGAUGCAGGGGAGGAUGAAGAAGGUGUGGCCUAUGGUGCGACAACACAUGGAUACGGCUGAAGCUGGGCAAGCUCGCACGUACAAUCAAGGAACACAGAUUCGGGAGCUCCCACCAGGUGAGAAGGUCUUGAUGUUGAUUCCAACGCAUGAGUAUAAGUUCCUGGCCAAGUGGUAGAGGCCGUAUGAGGUUGUUGAGAAGAUGGGACCUGUCAAUUACAAGGUGAGACGGCCAGGCCGGUGAAAAGGCAAUCAGAUAUAUCAUACAAAUCUGCUGAAGAGAUUGCAUGCUUUGGAAACAACCCCAGUUACUGCCCUGUUAACAACCGUCUCUCCACAGACAGAACCACCAGUAGAAAUAAGGAAUUCCCACGCAGGUACAGGACUUAAAGGAACUUAUAGGCCGAAGCAGAUACAUUUUUUCAGAGCUGCCAUGUGAUCGCCCACAACAUCGACACCAAGCCAGGUGUGGUAAUCAGGCAGAGAACAUAUCGAAAAGCAGAAGCCCGUCGAAAGGCGAAACUGGAGGAAGGGAGAAAAUGUUGGAGGUCAGGGUCAUUGAAGAGUUCCAUAGCCCCUGGUCUAGCCCCAUCGUUAUCAUCCCAAAACCAGAUGGCACUCUUAGGUUUUGUAACGAUUUAAGGAAAUUGAACGAGGUCUCCCUGUUCGACGCCUACCCGAUGCCAAGGGUAGAUGAGCUGAUCAAACGACUAGGCUCGGCUCAGCGUACUCGAUCCCAGGAAGGAAUAUUGGCAUGUUCUCCUGACACCAAGAGGCCGCUUAAAGACGGCCUUUUUCACCCCUGACGGGCUGUUUCAAUAUACGGACCUGUCAUUUGGGGUCCACUACGCCCCGGCCACGUUUUAGAGGAUGAUGGACCGCAUCCUUCAACCCUUCCAACAAUACGCCGCGGCCUAUUUGGAUGACAUCAUCAUCCACAGUAGCUCAUGGGAGCUUCAUCGAGGCCAUCUGGAGGCGGUAGUGGGAGCACUCAGGAAAGCGGGGCUGAGAGCAAAGCCAAAGAAUUGCAGGUUGGGGCUUCAGGAGAUGGACAACCUGCGGUAAACUAUAGGACGGCGGUGCGUCAAACCACAGACGAGAAAGAUGGAGAAGGUCCAGAAUUGGCCACGAUCCAGCACAAGGAACCCCCUUGUAUGACCUGACCAUCAGCCUCCUGCCCCGUCACGUGAGGUGGACGAAGGAGGCAGAGGAAGCCUUCCAGGCUGUCCGACAGGCCCUGUGUGAAGAACCAGUACUUCGGUCCCCUGACUUCACCAGACCAUUUCUCCUUCAGACAGAUGCCUCCGGGACUGGAAUCGGGGCAGUCCUGGCCCAAGUGAUUGACGGGGAUGAGCAUCCAGUAAUGUAUAGCAGUCGGAAACUACAGAAACAUGAGACCAACUAUUCGACCGUUGAAAAGGAGUGCCUCGCAAUCAAAUGGGCCAUUCAUCACCUCUGGUGCUCCCUCUGGGGCCGGGAGUUUCUGUUGGUGACCGACCACACCCUCCUAAAAAGGAUGGCCACGAACAAGGACAAGAAUUCCAGGGUCACCAGAUGGUUUAUUGAGCUGUAAAUUUACAAGUUCACAGUGGAACAUCGACCGUGGAAGGUGAUCCAAAAUAUAGAUGCCCUGUCCAGGAUGUAUGAAGAGGAAAUUCAAGCUCCUGAGCCAAGCAGGGAGCUUAGGGGGGUAAAUGUGGAUUGUCGGUAUGGGGCUGACUAGCGCCCUAUCGGAGGUACGAGGUGUGCCCAGGUUCAGUCCAGUAGACAUGUGGCCCUCGGCAGAGUGGUUGAGGGGCGGUACCUACCUGCAGUCCUCAAUCAGCUCGAGAUAAUGACAACUCAGUCUAAUCACCAAUGGAGGACACCUGGGUUCUGAUCAGCCUGGACCAUAAAUGCAGCAGCUUGAACCUGAGCUUACUCUACCUCUGCAUGGCGGCAACCAGUGUUGGACAAAGCUAAGCCCAGACAUGAUGAGCUCAGCUUAUCGGGGGAGGACUGAGCGAGGACACAAGACGUGCUCAGUCAACAUGAAUACAAGAACACUUUCUGUCCCCAAUAAAAGGC
Nerophis ophidion (straightnose pipefish) is the source of this 2088-nucleotide long non-coding RNA. RefSeq lists it as uncharacterized. The record is from RefSeq and is a predicted model, not a curated record. Lineage: Eukaryota; Metazoa; Chordata; Actinopteri; Syngnathiformes; Syngnathidae. The transcript is spliced from 4 exons.